RNAcentral lists this ribosomal RNA (253 nucleotides) under uncultured bacterium. RNAcentral's name for it is "partial 16S ribosomal RNA". It matches the Rfam family "Bacterial small subunit ribosomal RNA", at positions 524 to 776 of the family's 1533-position model. The record is from RNAcentral.
UACGUAGGGUGCAAGCGUUGUCCGGAAUUAUUGGGCGUAAAGAGCUCGUAGGCGGUUUGUCGCGUCUGCUGUGAAAACUCGGGGCUUAACCCCGGGCCUGCAGUGGGUACGGGCAGACUAGAGUGCGGUAGGGGAGACUGGAAUUCCUGGUGUAGCGGUGAAAUGCGCAGAUAUCAGGAGGAACACCGGUGGCGAAGGCGGGUCUCUGGGCCGUAACUGACGCUGAGGAGCGAAAGCUAGGGGAGCAAACAGG